AUUCUACAUUUAAUCUGUAUGUAUUGUACAUAACCUGUAAACUAAAAACUACUCAUCUGUGAUUAAAUUGUGCUAACUUUAAUUAAACGAUUAAAUAAAGUAAAAAAUAAAGGUAAUAUUCUUUAUAAUAAAAAAAAAUAUGGCUUUGAAUAUCAAAAGUUAUUCAACAUAUUUAUUACAUAAAUUAUAAUGUAGUCAUUUUUAUCUGACAAUCAUAUUGCAUGAACAUAUAAUAGAUAAUCGUCUUUAUACAAGCAAUAACAUUAUACAAAUAUGGUAUCAAUUCUAUGAUAUUCUAUUGAAAAAACAAUGUUUUUCAAUAGAAUUUCUGUGCUACAAUAGUUUAGCUGGUCGCAUAUAACAAUUAUAUAUUGCAUAAAUAAGAUGAACAUGUAGAAUAAUUUCUUUUUUUAUCUUAAACAUCGACUAUGUGACUUAUCCUUUGUGAUAAAUACAUUUUUUGAAUUUAAUUGACAAUCAGUUAAUAUUAAGAAUACAAUUACAGGAUGUCAUACAAAUUGAAAUUACAUUUAGAUCAUAUAAUAUAGGACAAUAUUGUACUGUUCUAUAUUUCUAUAUAAUCGUAAUAGUCUUUUUUGAUACAAUAAUUAACUGCAAUUAUUAAUUUUUAUAGAACAAUACAAAAAGCGUAGUAAUAUAUUAAGCAAAUGUUUAUCCAUUAUUCUCAUUUAUAUCAUAUAAAAUCAUAAUUUCAUAAAUGAAAUAUUCCAUUGGGAAGUAGUAAUAAAUAUCAAAAGGACUACAAGUGCACUUGCCCAUUAUAUCUCAUAAUUGAUAUUUAUAGUUUUCUCGUUAAAAAACGAGAUAUAAUAUUGAUACGAUAUUAAAAACAGUGUUCUUACGUUCUUUACAAUAAUUUUGGCAGUGAUAGCUCUUAUGUGAAAUAUUCUACUUACUAGCAAACCGUAUAAAUAUAUCUACAAAUUUACGAAUCAACAACUCUCGAAAUAAAUAACUUCAUUCGAGUUUCAUUGAUUUUACAAAUUAGUUUAUUUUUAUAUUACUUAUAUUUAUAUACGUCAUUUCUAUUUCAAAUAUUUUUUUACUUAACACUACAACAGUAAUAAAUAAUCACGCUUUUUAUAAAUUUCCCUAUAAAUUAUCCGAGAAAUGAAAUCAUUUCCUUCUGUUAUAAACGAUUAUAUUAAUGAAUAAAAAUAUUAAAUUAAUAUCUAUCUAUUUCAUUUACAUUUUAAUUUUUUUAAUAGUUAUUUUACAAUAAACUAUAAAUAAAAUUAUUAAAAAUAUACAAUUAUAUAUUGAAAUAUUUUUUAAAUAUCCCUCCAUUAAGAUAGUACCUAUCGAAUCGAACGAAAUCGAAGAAGAUAGAUGUCGCAGUAUCGAUACUCGAUUUUAAUAGACUAGCACAUAGUGUCAUCUAGUUUCAGUGGAGUGAGAGUGUACAUGGAAGUUUCUUUGAAAUUCAUUUCUUCGAUUAUUUCUUUUGGAUUUAUUGUUGCUGGUGUGAUUGGCGCUUCGUGCUGAGUGUCGUUUAACACAAAUGUCGUUGUGGGCUCUUCCCGCGAAUUUUGUGCAACUCUUCUGCUUCCUGGAGGAAUAUAAGUCCACCAAGCCAGGAAAAAGAAAAGGAGGGAUGCUGCUUUGCCGAUGAAAGCUAAUGCUAGCAUAUAUCUGAAACAAGCGGCCAUUAAUGAAAUUAUAGAGGACGCUACAAUCAAGUGUGGAACGAUUUUUAUAGAUAUAAAAAUAAUCAAGCAUGGAGAAAUGGACUAGAUUUUCACAAGCAUGCAUACUAAGUACGAUAAGAAAUACUGACUUCGACGUUAUUUAGUCGCAUUCCUUGAUAACAUCCUGCGUGACAAGGAGAAUAGUACGUGAUUCCAUCAACUCCGCAUAUUGGACUGAAUUCUGAUCUCGAGCAACCGCAGCCAUUAUUACACGUGUUAUCCAAUGAAAAAGUUUUUCUGUAAAUAUGAAAUUUU
Long non-coding RNA from Apis florea (little honeybee), 1964 nucleotides. The record is from RefSeq and is a predicted model, not a curated record. NCBI's taxonomy places the organism in Eukaryota, Metazoa, Arthropoda, Insecta, Hymenoptera, Apidae.